GACGAACCGAGCGAACGUUGUUCGGAAUUACUGGGCGUAAAGGGCGCGUAGGCGGCCUUCUAAGUCGGACGUGAAAUCCCUCGGCUCAACCGAGGAACUGCGUCCGAUACUGAAAGGCUUGAAUCCGGGAGAGGGAUGUGGAAUUCCAGGUGUAGCGGUGAAAUGCGUAGAUAUCUGGAGGAACACCGGUGGCGAAGGCGGCAUCCUGGACCGGCAUUGACGCUGAGGCGCGAAAGCUAGGGGAGCAAACGGG
RNAcentral lists this ribosomal RNA (253 nucleotides) under uncultured bacterium. RNAcentral describes it as "partial 16S ribosomal RNA". It matches the Rfam family "Bacterial small subunit ribosomal RNA", at positions 524 to 776 of the family's 1533-position model. The record is from RNAcentral.